RNAcentral lists this ribosomal RNA (292 nucleotides) under uncultured bacterium. Its description in RNAcentral is "partial 16S ribosomal RNA". It matches the Rfam family "Bacterial small subunit ribosomal RNA", at positions 505 to 796 of the family's 1533-position model. The record is from RNAcentral.
GUGCCAGCAGCCGCGGUAAUACAGAGGGGGCGAGCGUUGUUCGGAAUUACUGGGCGUAAAGGGCGCGUAGGCGGCCAACUAAGUCAGACGUGAAAUCCCUCGGCUCAACCGGGGAACUGCGUCUGAUACUGGAUGGCUUGAAUUCGGGAGAGGGAUGCGGAAUUCCAGGUGUAGCGGUGAAAUGCGUAGAUAUCUGGAGGAACACCGGUGGCGAAGGCGGCAUCCUGGACCGAGAUUGACGCUGAUGCGCGAAAGCCAGGGGAGCAAACGGGAUUAGAAACCCUGGUAGUCC